This 379-nucleotide ribosomal RNA is filed under the name uncultured bacterium. RNAcentral's name for it is "bacterial SSU rRNA". It matches the Rfam family "Bacterial small subunit ribosomal RNA", at positions 28 to 399 of the family's 1533-position model. The record is from RNAcentral.
GACGAACGCUGGCGGCGUGCCUAACACAUGCAAGUGGAGCGACGAACCGGGCUUCGGCCCGGGGCAAAGCCGCGAACGGGUGAGUAACACGUGGGUAACCUGCCCUGAUGAUCGGGACAACCCGAGGAAACUCGGGCUAAUACCGAAUGUGCCCUCCGGCCAUAAGGCCACUGGGGAAAGGAAGCUUCGGCCUCCGCAUCGGGAUGGGCCCGCGGCCCAUUAGCUUGUUGGUGAGGUAACGGCUCACCAAGGCAAUGAUGGGUAGCUGGUCUGAGAGGACGAUCAGCCACACUGGGACUGAGACACGGGCCCAGACUCCUACGGGAGGCAGCAGUGGGGAAUCUUGCGCAAUGCGCGAAAGCGUGACGCAGCAACGCCG